This 130-nucleotide ribosomal RNA is filed under the name Procavia capensis (Cape rock hyrax). Lineage: Eukaryota; Metazoa; Chordata; Mammalia; Hyracoidea; Procaviidae. The record is from RNAcentral.
GUCUGCUGCCACAUCACCCUGAAUGUACCCUAUCUUGUCUGAUCUUGGAAGCUAAGCAGUGUCUGGCCUGGUUAGUACUUGGAUGGAAGGGAUUUCUUAUGCAAGACAUGAAACUCAGAAGCAGUAAAAA